RNAcentral lists this ribosomal RNA (253 nucleotides) under uncultured bacterium. RNAcentral describes it as "partial 16S ribosomal RNA". It matches the Rfam family "Bacterial small subunit ribosomal RNA", at positions 524 to 775 of the family's 1533-position model. The record is from RNAcentral.
UACGGAGGGUGCGAGCGUUGUCCGGAAUCAUUGGGCGUAAAGGGCGCGUAGGUGGCCCGGUCAGUCAGUGGUGAAAGCGCGGGGCUCAACUCCGCGUCGGCCAUUGAUACUGCUGGGCUGGAGCACUGUAGAGGCAGGCGGAAUUCCGGGUGUAGCGGUGGAAUGCGUAGAGAUCCGGAAGAACACCGGUGGCGAAGGCGGCCUGCUGGGCAGUUGCUGGACACUGAGGCGCGACAGCGUGGGGAGCAACAGG